GUUUCUGAGAAAAGUUUUUGUUUCAAUAAAUCAGUCUUUUCUGACAGCAAUGUCAACAGAUGUUGAAAAAUUUCCUCUUAGCUGCAAUAAUCAUACAAGGGAGCAUCUGACUGCAAAAAAAUGUUUUCACAGAAUUGCAGAACUGAGGUUGCAAAAGACAUCCAAGAUGAUCAAGCCCAACCUUUGACUCCACUUCUUAUAUCUGCAAAAGGUGAACGAGCAGUUCCUUCAAAGGAGGCUUGGUUAUGUGACCACUUCCCUGGGAACCUGCUCCAGUGAGUGACUACCCUCUCAGUGAAGAAGCCAACAGUUUCCACACUGAUGGAGAAGUUUGAACAUCUGUUAUUGUUCAAUUGUAUUCCUCUGUAACACAUCUGACAUUUGGGGACAGUGAAGAAACCAGGUAAAAAAAAAAAAAAAAAAGAAGAAAAAAAAGAAGAGAGAAAUAAUCACAGAGCAGAUACCACCUGCCUGGACUUCUCCAUGGGAAUGAGUGAUCUGACAAUUAUAGACUUCAGGUGCCGUGAGGAAUCAUCUUUCCAAACUGCUGCCAGGGGGGAAAAGACUAGUUCUGAUGUGAUAUCUAGACAGUCUAAGAGUUAUUUUUGUCCUUGAAGUCUAAUAGUGGGUUAUUGGUAAUUACAGGAAAAAAAAAUAACCUAGAAAAAGGGUGUGAUGUCUUUUUUUACUUUUUCCUCAUCUAUUCAGUUCCACAGAAAUCUUGUGGGGUUACUAUUCCAUAAAGAACCACUUUAAGGAGAUUUUAGCCCUAUUCUUAUUUAAAAUUUAAAUAUACCUAUUCUGUGAGAUACAUUUUUUAGUUUUAAACCUAAGUGUUUAGAUUAUUUUUGUAAUUUAUGUUUAAACUGCAGCAAAAAGCUGGUACAACACUGUCCAGAGAAACAAAACCCAUUUUGUACAACAGUGCUCUUGGACUGGGUGGAGAGAUAUUUGUAUUGCCAGAGAAAGGGGAAACCAAAAAAAUGAAAGUCAGGAGCAGAUGGCAAAGGAAAAAUAUAAUCAGAAAGGAAAGAAAAUGGGGCUGAGGGUGUAGAAAGGAGUUUGUGAGUGAGGAGGAAGAAAAAGGAAAUAAAAAAAAUAGAGACAAGAGUGGGAGAAAAAGGAUCUCAAGUUUCCUGUAUGGACUUGGCAUUCCUAAGAGAAAAUUUUCAAUAUAAUAUUUCAAAAUUUUAUUUAACUUUAUUUAGGGAUGUGGCUGAGAGCAGCCUAGAGGGAGCCUUGUUUAAGAGCCCCAAAGGCUCCUACUGGCUAUUCGAUCUAACUGGAACAGGCAGCAGCAAUCUGUGUCCAUCACUGGGCAACAAGGAGCAGGAGGGCACUG
Long non-coding RNA from Passer domesticus (house sparrow), 1342 nucleotides. RefSeq lists it as uncharacterized. The transcript is spliced from 4 exons. Lineage: Eukaryota; Metazoa; Chordata; Aves; Passeriformes; Passeridae. The record is from RefSeq and is a predicted model, not a curated record.